CACGUAGGUGGCAAGCGUUGUCCGGAUUUACUGGGCGUAAAGAGCGCGCAGGCGGUCGUUCAAGUCGCGUGUGAAAGCCCCCGGCUCAACUGGGGAGGGUCACGCGAUACUGAUCGACUCGAAGGCAGGAGAGGGUAGUGGAAUUCCCGGUGUAGUGGUGAAAUGCGUAGAUAUCGGGAGGAACACCAGUGGCGGAGGCGACUACCUGGCCUGUUCUUGACGCUGAGGCGCGAAAGCUAGGGGAGCAAACGGG
RNAcentral lists this ribosomal RNA (253 nucleotides) under uncultured bacterium. Its description in RNAcentral is "partial 16S ribosomal RNA". It matches the Rfam family "Bacterial small subunit ribosomal RNA", at positions 524 to 776 of the family's 1533-position model. The record is from RNAcentral.